This 261-nucleotide long non-coding RNA is filed under the name Salvia miltiorrhiza (redroot sage). RNAcentral describes it as "long non-coding RNA (SMIL_LNC003916)". Lineage: Eukaryota; Viridiplantae; Streptophyta; Magnoliopsida; Lamiales; Lamiaceae. The record is from RNAcentral.
UCGAUCAUCUAUGAAGUGCUUAAGGAGAUGGAACGAAUUGUAGGCAUACUUCACUAUACUUUAUAAACACAAUGAGAUUUCUUAACUUCAUAAGCAAAUGAAUCAAGAUACAAUAGUAGAAUGAAAUAGACUUAACUUUAGAAGAGAAGAACGUUGGGCUGCACUGCUGGCCGCUGGACCUCAAGAACAGCGGCAACAGUGCGACGAAUCAAGCAGACGCCGGCAGCGACGCCCCUAGUCGUCAACGACAGCGCUACUCGC